GGGGCUAGUAUGAAUGAAUAAACAUUUUCUUACUGUCUCAUUUAUAAGCAUAAAAAUUUACCUUCAGGUGAAGAGGCCUGAAUUUAUUAAAAAGACAAGAAGACCCUAUCAAGCUUUAUUUUACUAUAUUUAUUAAAUAUUUAAAGUUUAGUUGGGGCAACAAAAUACUAAUUAUCAUUUUUAUUUCUAAAGGACUAUAUUCCUAUAAUAUAACCUAAAAAUGACUAAAAGAAAGCUACUGUAGGGAUAACAGGCUAAUACUUUUCAAGAGUCCUUAUCUACAAAAGUGAUUGGCACCUCG
RNAcentral lists this ribosomal RNA (301 nucleotides) under Odontosyllis cf. fulgurans MNCN 16.01/18963. Its description in RNAcentral is "partial large subunit ribosomal RNA". It matches the Rfam family "Bacterial large subunit ribosomal RNA", at positions 1983 to 2528 of the family's 2925-position model. The record is from RNAcentral. Lineage: Eukaryota; Metazoa; Annelida; Polychaeta; Phyllodocida; Syllidae.